GCCUGAGCCACGCAUAGACGCCUACUUCUCUUCCUCCUUCAGUUCAUCACCAACUCAGUGUACACAACUACCAUCCUCUUCCUCGGUUAAUAGAGGUUCAAAGCUAGCCUUACCUUUAAACUGAUAGACAACAAUACAAUCAUCCCUAACGAAUUUCUUACACAACCCAUGAUUAUCUUACACCCUUUUGGACCCCUUCCUUCUUGCACUACCAUUACUUCCUCCAAACCUUUAUCCCAUAACAAUAUCUUCUUUCCAUCUUCAACAGUUCUGCAUCUGGUCUCGAGAUAUACCAGAACAUGGACAUCCUUAUGUAGUGCUAGAAGUCGCCGCGAAGAUUUGAAUGGCAAGGACUUUGAUUGGGAUAUCAUUAAAAAAGAUAUGGAGCUUGAGGAUGAUGAAGAUGGUGGGUUUCCGGCUCAAGGAAUGUUUCCAAGAAGGGAAGCAAAGGACUUUGGUAUAGAAAAAGUACAAGAAGAUAAAGAUGAUGAUGGUGGAUUUUCAGGUCGAGGACCGUAUGCAGGUAGGCAAGAGAAUGAUUAUGAUAUAGGUCCAGAAUUUGCUGAAAUUCUUGGGAGUGUUCUAGAUGAUCCCCAAAAUGCACGGUCCAAAAUUGAAGAGAGAAGAAGAAAGAAAGAAAAGCAUGCAAGAAGGGAAGCAAAGGACAUUGAUAUAGAAGUACAAGAAGAUGAAGAUGAUGGUGGUGGAUAUUCAGGUCCAGGAGUAUAUACAGGUAGGGAAGAGAAGGACUACGAUAGAGAUCCAGAAUUUGCUGAAAUUCUUGGGAGUGUUGUAGAUGAUCCCCAAAAGGCACAGUCCAGAAUUGAAGAGAGAAUAAGAAAUAAAAGGAACGAUAUAAUUCACACAAAAACUGGAUCAGGAAUAGCAAUGAGCGUGUCAUUUAACAAAUUUGACUUUUCAAACUCAUAUAUAUGGCUUGAAUUUUACAAUGCUCCAUUGGCAAAAGACAUCUCCUUAAUUUGUAAUACUUUACGAUCAUGGCACAUUAUUGGACGUCUUGGUGGAUGCAAUGCCAUGAAUAUGCAACUGUCACAGUCUCCAAUAGAUAAACGACCAAGUUACGAUUAUAUUCAGGGAGCAAAUGUGACACCAACUACAUUUUACAACAUUGGGGAUCUUGAGGUUCAAGACAACUUGGCUCGAAUAUGGGUGGAUAUUGGAUCUUAUGAACCGUUGAUUCUGGAUGUUUUGGUAAAUGCAUUGACACAGAUAAGCUCUGAUUUUGUUGGGAUCAAGCAAGUAGUGUUUGGUGGAGGAGAAUUUGAGAAUUGGAAUGAGAAUUUGACAUCAGAGGAUUCAGGUUUUAAUGUUCACAAGAUCUAAGCCAAUUUUAACGAAUUGAGGUCAAUGAAGAUAGAAGCGGUUGAAGGUGCUGAGGUAUUUGUUUGCUUUCUCCACAAAGGACUCGCAAGUGAGAUAACUGAGGAGGACGUAAGAGCAUUUAAGGACUUGGAUGUUUGAGUUUUGCUGUAUUUUGCUGCUAAUUGGAACUAUUCUCUGUUGACUGCUUCAAGCUUUGGAUGACUGUAUUAUUUAGUACUUGAUGAUUUUUGGAUGACUGUAAAACUACUAUUUCUUUCUGCUUUAAGCCUUCUACAAACAGCGGCUACU
Gastrolobium bilobum is the source of this 1632-nucleotide RNA transcript. RefSeq lists it as uncharacterized. The transcript is spliced from 11 exons. The record is from RefSeq and is a predicted model, not a curated record. Lineage: Eukaryota; Viridiplantae; Streptophyta; Magnoliopsida; Fabales; Fabaceae.